This is a long non-coding RNA of Papaver somniferum (opium poppy), 620 nucleotides long. RefSeq lists it as uncharacterized. Lineage: Eukaryota; Viridiplantae; Streptophyta; Magnoliopsida; Ranunculales; Papaveraceae. The record is from RefSeq and is a predicted model, not a curated record. The transcript is spliced from 3 exons.
AAUUUCAAAUGCAUUUAUGAAAUUUCCCGACUGUAUGAUUACUUCUGAGAAAAAGAUAACGUCAGUGGAUUUUCCUGUGAAUCAAACGGGUUAUAAACCAUCGCUUAUUGCCGUGAUUUUGAGUUUAAAGUUUGGAGAAGAGGAGUAUAGUUAGGUAGAAGCUCCAGAACUGUUGAAGCUAUAACCAAGUGUUGUUAAUCGAGAGCUACCUAGUAGUGCUUCUGAAGCCAGUGAAAAGCACCAGAGCAUCAAAAACACUUAUUCCUGUCAUUUUCCACCGAUAAAUCUCAUGUGUGAGUAUAAUUGCUAACGUCUCUUUCUGGCCUUUCUCGUCUCAACACUCUUUUGUUGUUGUUGUUGUUGCAGGAUUAAUUUCUUUAAACAGGUUGGGGAUAUUUUUGAUGGGUGUCUUUAUUAUUACUACGGUAAGGAUGGCAAGUCCAGAGCGUAAUGGGUGGCCAUAUAAAGUUUGCAACUGAAGAAGCUGCAAAGAAGGCAGCAAAUCUUCGUGAAUACUUGUUGGGUCCCCGUAUUAAACUUUUCCCUUGACUGGAAGACCCCGGAGCAUCAAAAACACUUCUCAUGAAGGACCUACUAUUUUACACUGUUAGAUCUGAUGU